CCUACGGGAGGCUGCAGUGGGGAAUAUUGGACAAUGGGCGAAAGCCUGAUCCAGCCAUGCCGCGUGUGUGAAGAAGGCCUUCGGGUUGUAAAGCACUUUCAGUGGGGAAGAAAGCCUUGGGGCUAAUACCCUCGAGGAAGGACAUCACCCACAGAAGAAGCACCGGCUAACUCCGUGCCAGCAGCCGCGGUAAUACGGAGGGUGCGAGCGUUAAUCGGAAUUACUGGGCGUAAAGCGCGCGUAGGCGGUCUGAUAAGCCGGUUGUGAAAGCCCCGGGCUCAACCUGGGAACGGCAUCCGGAACUGUCAGGCUAGAGUGCAGGAGAGGAAGGUAGAAUUCCCGGUGUAGCAGUGAAAUGCGUAGAGAUCGGGAGGAAUACCAGUGGCGAAGGCGGCCUUCUGGACUGACACUGACGCUGAGGUGCGAAAGCGUGGGUAGCAAACAGGAUUAGAUCCCCUGGUAGUC
RNAcentral lists this ribosomal RNA (465 nucleotides) under Vreelandella stevensii. RNAcentral describes it as "partial 16S ribosomal RNA". It matches the Rfam family "Bacterial small subunit ribosomal RNA", at positions 338 to 795 of the family's 1533-position model. The record is from RNAcentral. Lineage: Bacteria; Pseudomonadati; Pseudomonadota; Gammaproteobacteria; Oceanospirillales; Halomonadaceae.